Rosa chinensis is the source of this 1172-nucleotide long non-coding RNA. RefSeq lists it as uncharacterized. Lineage: Eukaryota; Viridiplantae; Streptophyta; Magnoliopsida; Rosales; Rosaceae. The transcript is spliced from 5 exons. The record is from RefSeq and is a predicted model, not a curated record.
UACUUUUGGGGCUGUUUCUGCUUUUGGGUCAAGAGUAUGGUGUUUGGUAAAAUCUCUGAAAGCUGCUUUUGGUUGAAAUUGCUUCUCCGUGAAGCUGAAUUUGGGAAGCUACAAUUUGUAGCCUCUGAAGAGCUGCUUUGAGAAAACAUGGAGCAACAACAGUACAGAGUUUAAUGAAAUUUGUCUAACUGCCAAUUCUGUCCUCUUCAUUUUCUAAAAAUUACAUCGAAACAGCUAAACCCUAUCUUUUCUCCAUCGCGAGGCAGACAUCUCAUUCCACAUCUCCUCCUUCCUCUUUGCCGUCAUUAUCAUUCCACAUCUCCUCCAUCAAAUUACAUUAUCAUUCGUAAAGGGUCAAAAGGAUUAGGCAUAUACCACUACUAGGGUCUUCUGGGUUAUGUUUCUUCUCUGCAGAUAGAAUCAAACGGAACCCAAUUUCUCUGAUUCCUCCAUAACUGCACAAAAAGGAGUAAGGAGAAUUCUUGUACAUCUCAACAUUCAAUAAUUCGAUCCUCAUCGAACUUCUCCUCCUUCUCUCUCUGUUAUCACUGAAAGAAUGUUUGAGUACAAGAGACAAAUGGAAUGGAUCUACUUAUGAAGAUGGAUCAAAAGAACAUCGUUCCAGGUCCUCGAUGAAGUUGUCAUCGGCAAAAGCAACAACUGGAUUUGGGAUCAUUUAUACAUCUUCAGAAGAAGAGGAGGAUGUAUGCUCAACAUGUCUUGAAUAAUAUACUCCAGAAAAAAACAAUGACAAAAUGCUCUCAUCGUUAUCAUCUUGGUUGUAUAUAUGAGUGGAUGGAGAGAAGUGAAAGUUGUCCUGUUUGUAGCAAGGUCAUGGCAUUCGAUGAAACGACUUAAUCUUGAUUGACGCAUCGUCGAUGAAUCCAGCAACAUCAGGAAGAUAGAAUACUAAAGAAAGUGAUGCCACUGUGAAUACCGCAUCUUAAAAAAAUAGUGUCAUCGAUAGUACAUAUAAACUUAAUUUCUGAUAACCGAUGUUGUAAGUACAGUUUAUCCAAAUGUUUUUCUCCUUUGGAAAUUUUUCUUUGGAAGAUAAAAUGUGAUAGUUCUUGCAAUUUUACUUGCAUUUGGCAAAAGUCAUUUAAGUAUAGCAUUGCACCAGUAGAGAGAAAACUUUAUGUACAACUUAUUUAUGUUACCAGUGUUCUUUC